UACAGAGGGUGCAAGCGUUAAUCGGAAUUACUGGGCGUAAAGCGUGCGUAGUCGGCUUUUCAAGUCGGGUGUGAAAGCCCCGGGCUCAACCUGGGAAUUGCAUUCGAUACUGGAUGGCUAGAGUUCGGCAGAGGGAAGCGGAAUUUCGGGUGUAGCGGUGAAAUGCGUAGAUAUCCGAAGGAACAUCAGUGGCGAAAGCGGCUUCCUGGACCAGAACUGACGAUCAGGCACGAAAGCGUGGGGAGCAAACAGG
This 253-nucleotide ribosomal RNA is filed under the name uncultured bacterium. RNAcentral describes it as "partial 16S ribosomal RNA". It matches the Rfam family "Bacterial small subunit ribosomal RNA", at positions 524 to 776 of the family's 1533-position model. The record is from RNAcentral.